This is a long non-coding RNA of Anguilla anguilla (European eel), 668 nucleotides long. RefSeq lists it as uncharacterized. The record is from RefSeq and is a predicted model, not a curated record. The transcript has 2 exons. NCBI's taxonomy places the organism in Eukaryota, Metazoa, Chordata, Actinopteri, Anguilliformes, Anguillidae.
GUAUACAUUGCUACAUAACGGAAUGAAUCAGAUGCGUGUUGUGAGAGUGACUUGCAACUUUACACGGAGCCAGGAACCAGUGUACAUAAAGACUUUCAUUACUCUGUCAGAAGGCAUGAACUGAGAUCAAAGUUUCAAAUCAUACAAAGGACAUGCAUUGUUUCAAGUCUGUAGCUUCGACCAAUUGAGUACAAAAUCUACCGCCAAUCUCCAUUUGUCUUCAUUGCUAAUGUAGUUCAGAUGGGCUCACAAUCUGAAGUUAUAUGACUUACAAUGACCUGAAGUAGAUUACAUUACUAGCUACCGAACGUUACCCAUCGAAGCGUUCAAUUGUCAAUCUAGUCGUUCCACUAGAGCCAUGACUCACUAUCUAGCUAGCUACCUAGCAAGCUAGUUAGCCAUGUAGCUACCGUUAGUUAGCUAGACAGCGAACUCACACAGUACGUCGCUAACGUGGAAACCAUCAUUUAACAAGGUUGAAAUGUUGUAUAGCUACACAACCCACAAACGUUAGGAACUGACGUUGUUCUGGUGAAAGUUCCAAUACAAUUAACGAACAAACGAAAACAUUAAACUAUUGAAGAUGUUGACUGGGCAACCCGACAACAGAAGCUUAUGUGAGAAUCUUAAUUAUAUGAAUUUUAAUAAAAACAUCUCUUUUCAAGUUU